GAAGCAUUUUCUGGAGAAGCUUCAUUUGUAGGAUGAAAGGCUUGCGAGGGAAAACAGAAGAGAAGGGAGAUCGUGACGAAGACCAGCGGUGGCUCCUAGAAGACCAAGGAGAUAAGGAGAAGCUAGAAUUGGUGAGGCAAGGGGUUCGGUUGAGGUGCAAAAAAUCCUGCUAUCACCAAGUCUGUUUUUGGUUGGUUACACACGAUUAAGGAAAUGGGUAGGAGAAGUCGACCUUUUGAAUCUCUGAAGAUACUGAACAACCUGCAGAAAAGAAGAAAAUAUUUAUUGAUUGGAUGAACUUCAUAAAGCCUGGCAUUGAGGAGAAAGAUCACUGGGUGAAAGAAAUUUUUUUUUAUUUUUUUAAAGUCCUUAACGAAACUGUUUCAAAGUGAACUGAAUCUGGAACUAAUUUUGGGCUUUUGUGAGCAAGGACCAUUGCAGGAAUUGUAGGGCUAUUUUCCGUGGAAAGUGUAUCCACAGUUGGAUCGCUCAACAGCUGAUAAAAAUGCUCAAGCAGUUAGGGCUUGCGACAGAUGCACGGUAUGCUUAUCAAUCAUCAUAGCAAAAUAGUUUCUGUGGUGCUUUGUUCUGUUUAUGAUUUUUAUACCUUAUCAUGGCAGUUAGGCAUUAGUAAAUGGUAAUAGUCCAGGAUGGAAAGGGCAAUUAGGCAUUAGCAAGAAAACUACCAUAAAUUUUACUUAAUAAGAUGUUGUGUUUUCACAGGAAUUCUUUAUUUGUAUAGGUUUAGGGUCUCAAGGUCUUACAUUUAUAUAGGUUAGAGACAAUACUUUGAUAAGAUUCGAGUCGACAAAAAUAUAAAAAUGUUAUUUAAUCCUUCUAAAAUUUAUUUCUUUGGGAUGCUAACCCAUGUAGGGAAUUGUGAUUUUGAGUACUGCACGUGAUUGUGAACAUGUAUAAGUUAAAUCUGUUGUAACUUGCCUCCCAUCAAGUUUUUCCAAGCUUAGAAUUCCUCUUGGUUGAUUUUCAUUCAUUCAAGUCUUUUUUGUGCCUUUAUUACAAUUUGUGAUCUGCAGGCUAAAUAAUUGAUGUGGCAGGAGUGAUGCCUUACACCUGUUACAAGAAACAAGGUAUGCAUCGUACUUGGCCGUUUUGUCAUUUUGAACAAGUGGACUUAUUCAAAAUUUUUCAUAACCUGAUCUAACCAAACUUUCUUUUGGAGCAGUGGCCCGCAAUGUCGGAAAAAGUAUAUACAUUUAUGUUCCAACUUCUUAUUUGAAAUAUAUACAUUAUAGGUUUCAAAAAUGUUAAUUUUUUUAUCUAACUAGACUCGGAUAAUAUCAUGAAUAUCAAUAAGCUAAUGCACCUUAAAAAUUUAACCAUUAUUUAAAACAUUAAAGCUUACAAUUUAAAUUCAUAGUAGAUUGCGGUUAUAUGAUGAAUAAUUGUAUGUAUUUUUUUUAAUAAAUCCAGCGUCACGGUGCAGGCUCAAUCUAAUAAAAAAAAUUGAAAAAGCUUACUAGUUUAAUAUUUUACUGGAAUUUGCCCGCUUAGCUGCUGGAAAGAUCAUGAAUCUUUUUUUAUUUUUUGUAGAAAUAAUGAUAUAAUUUUAUUUAAAUAUUUCAAUAAAGAUCAUG
Non-coding RNA from Durio zibethinus, 1595 nucleotides. The record is from RefSeq and is a predicted model, not a curated record. NCBI's taxonomy places the organism in Eukaryota, Viridiplantae, Streptophyta, Magnoliopsida, Malvales, Malvaceae.